This is an RNA transcript of Cornus florida, 2717 nucleotides long. It is a transcript of the gene named protein AGENET DOMAIN (AGD)-CONTAINING P1-like, with no coding region annotated. NCBI's taxonomy places the organism in Eukaryota, Viridiplantae, Streptophyta, Magnoliopsida, Cornales, Cornaceae. The transcript has 3 exons. The record is from RefSeq and is a predicted model, not a curated record.
CUUAUCGCUUUGGAUGAAAUCACACCGCUGAAAUGGUUGUGAUCAGGUGAUUAUCACAAUGGCCACCCUAAAACCCAGUUUCCUAUUCCGAACUAUAUAAACCACACUUAUAUCCUCUUUGUAAUAACUCUCUCCUGCGAACAAGCUUUUCCUUGCUCUUCAAGAAUCUCGUGCUUUCACUCUCCUUCUCUCUCUAGGGUUUUCUCUCCAAAACCCUACUCCUCCCCCUUUAUCUCUCUCUAUAUUACAUAUCUCAUUCCCUGUAAUUCGCAUCUUCUAGUGUUUUCAGAGUACCAUAGGGAAAAAUGGGGUUCCGCAGAGGUGAUCAAGUUGAAGUUGCGAGUAAAGAGGAAGGGUUUCUUGGUUCGUACUACGCUGCGACAGUGAUUGUAGAGAUUCUCAAGAAGGAAUACAUUGUGCAGUACAAGACCCUGUUGAAAGAAGAUAUGUCCGGACCCUUGAGAGAGAUUGUCACCGCCGGCGAGGUCCGUCCUUGUCCACCUCAAAUUCCGGCGACUUCCUUUGGUUUGUACGACACGGUCGAUGCUUUUGACAACGAUGGUUGGUGGGUCGGAAAGAUUGCUGGCAAAGUUGGGUUGGAGUACUUGGUUUAUUUUGAGACUACAGGGGAUCAGAUCGCUUACCCAAUGAGUCGGCUGAGAGUUCAUCAGGAAUGGCUGAAUGGCAAGUGGAUUUCUACCAAUAGGAGGUUCUGUAGUAGUGAUGGGUCAACAGAAGAUUGGUAGAGUAAGAAUGCCCAAAGAGGAGGAUUGACGAAUAUGGAUGGAGCAGCAGCAGCAUAACAUAGACAUGGGAUCAUCUAUCUCAUAUGGGGCUUUACAUUAAAAGGCAAUUCGUUUAUAGAAUUCAGUGGAGGAUCGUCUUUCCAGUCAGAGAUUUCCACAACUUCAUCUCCAUGUAAGCAUACUAAAAUUUUUGUGCUCAUUAGUGUGUCUUCAUAUGUGCACAAUGUUGAAUCUAUUCGCAUGAGUGUCUUCAUAUGUGCCCAAUGUUAAGUCUUUGUGUGUGCAUGGGAAAGUUAGUCACUGUUCUGCAUAAUGUUGAAUCUAUUCACAUGAGUGUCUUCAUGUCGUGUGCUGAAAGUAUUAGUUAAAGGAUUCUGGAUCAUUCCAUUAUUUGUAAUGCCCUCUUAUUUAUAUUAAUAUGUAGAUCGAGUUAUUUCUAUAAUAAUAAAAACACUAAAGCAAAAGGGGCUAUGUUUGAUUUAAUGCAUCUUUUAGUUUCUUUCCCUUGAAAGGGGGAUAUCUGAGAUCAAAGAGGUUAAAUAUAAAAAUAUGACUCAUUUGACGGAGAAGAUCAUGGAACCAAUCCCAUAGAUCUAAAUUAAUACGAAUCUUUAGCCUAAGUGCUUCGGAAUUUUUUUUUUUCCGUUGAUUUUGCUAUAGGUUCUUAAAAUAGAGGCAUGUAGGGUUCUGUGCUGUUUAUUGAUUGUCUAUAACUUUUUUUUCCUUUUUUUUUUGUUCAAGAUGCAUUGUCCGGUUGUCAUUAUUGUUGAGGCCAUCCUACCACUCAGUCUCAGUUAGAAGGAAGAGAUUAGAAUAGUGGUGGGUGGGAAGACAGACCUCGAAUCCUUGUGUUCUACUGUCUUAACUUUCCAGACAUUGAUAAUUUGUAAGCAGCCUUAGGAUUGGCCCCAUGUUUUCCUUAGUUUGUAGUGGAAUUAGGAUGUAAAAUGUUGCCUUAAUGUAUAACAUGAAACUCUCGCUGUCCUAAGUUUGUAUAUAAGGUGGAACAUCUCGCGCUCAAUGUAGUUGUGGGACAUAUGAUCUUCUGGGACCUUGGCAAUUCAUCCUCUUUUAGGUUGAUUAGACACGUGAAAUCUGUGUUGAACUUUUAGCCCUGUUUACUACAAUAAUUUUGGUUGAUGCAACUUGUUUUGACUACCAUGCCUCUGUUUUUAUUUUUUACCUUCGGUUGAUUAGACUUGAAUUCCAUGUAGAACUUUUAGCCCCGUUUACCACAGUAAUCUUGGUUGAUGUAACUUGUUUUGAUGACUAUGCCUCUGUUUUUUAUUUUAUUUAUUAUUUAAAUCGAAAUUAUACCUGUGUUUAUAUUGUUUAAAAUGAGAUUAUGUAUAUGUAAUGAUAGUUGUAGUGACAAGCAUAUAUAAUAACAUUCACCUGCUUUGCAAAAACAAAUAUUAUAUUACAUGUUAAAGAAGCUAUAGCUAACGUGUGGAUAGGACUAGGAUGCACAUAAUGUAUUUGAUCCCAGGUCCUAAAAUUUGCUGGGCUACUUUGUAGGUUUUUGUGCGAGAAUAAUAGGAUUAGAGAGGAAAACAACAUGGGGAGUCUAUUUGGUUUAAUUUAUGGGCAAGGAUUUGGUCCAAAGCCGAAGAGAUGAGUGAUUUUAAAUACUCGUAGGGAAGCAUCUUAUAUCCAAUUUUGGGCUUAAAAUUCCAGCUCCUGAAAACCAGGAUUCAGAUUAGCUAUGUUAGUACCAAGUUUCUUUUGUAUUAAUUUGUACAUGUAUCUAUAUUUGCUGGUAGUACCGCUUUCGAUUGGGCUUGAAAAUUUCAAUGAAGAGAAUUCGCUCAAUCUAUUGUGUAGAGUGAGAUGUGAAUUUCAUGGUAGCAGAUCCCUCUUUGGUCUGCAAUUAAAAGUGUAAUGGACCCUUUAGAACUUGAUGACCAAGUGAAGACAAUGUAUAAGAUGGCAUGAUACACACAGAAUACCGUGUCAAGUUCUAAAGAAAAU